AGUGAACGCUGGCGGCAGGCCUAACACAUGCAAGUCGAACGGCAGCACAGUAAGAGCUCGCUCUUACGGGUGGCGAGUGGCGGACGGGUGAGGCAUACAUCGGCAUCUACUUUUUCGUGGGGGAUAACGUAGGGAAACUUACGCUAAUACCGAAUAUGACCUACGGGUGAAAGCAGGGGAUCUUCGCACCUUGCGCGACUGAAUGAGCCGAUGUCGCAUUAGCUAGUUGGCGGGGUAAAGGCCCACCAAGGCGACGAUACGUAGCGGGUCUGAGAGGAUGAUCGGCCACACUGGAACUGAGACACGGUCCAGACUCCUACGGGAGGCAGCAGUGGGGAAUCUUCGACAAAGGGCGCAAGCCUGACCCAGCCAUGCCGCGUGGGUGAAGAAGGCCUUCGGGUCGUAAAGCCCUUUUGUUGGGGAAGAAAAGCAGUAGGUUAAUCCCCCCCUGUUCUGACGGUACCCAAACAAUAAGCACCGGCUAACUUCGUG
This 492-nucleotide ribosomal RNA is filed under the name uncultured bacterium. Its description in RNAcentral is "partial 16S ribosomal RNA". It matches the Rfam family "Bacterial small subunit ribosomal RNA", at positions 29 to 507 of the family's 1533-position model. The record is from RNAcentral.